Molecule: ribosomal RNA, 406 nt
Filed under: uncultured bacterium
Lineage: Bacteria
Description: partial 16S ribosomal RNA
Rfam family: Bacterial small subunit ribosomal RNA
Source: RNAcentral
AUUGAACGCUGGCGGCAGGCCUAACACAUGCAAGUCGAACGAGUGGCGGACGGGAGAGUAAUGUCUGGGAAACUGCUCGAUGGAGGGGGAUAACUACUGGAAACGGUAGCUAAUACCGCAUACCAUCGGAUGAGCCCAGAUGGGAUUAGCUAGUAGGUGGGGUAACGGCUCACCAAGGCAACGAUCCCUAGCUGGUCUGCGAGGAUGAACCGCCACACUGGAACUGAGACACGGUCCAGACUCCUACGGGAGACAGCAGUGGGGAAUAUUGCACAAUGGGCGAAAGCCUGAUGCAGCCAUGCCGCGUGUAUGAAGAAGGCCUUCGGGUUGUAAAGUACUUUCAGCAGGGAGGCGUUACUCGCAGAAGAAGCACCGGCUAACUCCGUGCCAGCAGCCGCGGUAAUAC